Molecule: ribosomal RNA, 465 nt
Filed under: Vreelandella stevensii
Lineage: Bacteria; Pseudomonadati; Pseudomonadota; Gammaproteobacteria; Oceanospirillales; Halomonadaceae
Description: partial 16S ribosomal RNA
Rfam family: Bacterial small subunit ribosomal RNA
Source: RNAcentral
CCUACGGGGGGCUGCAGUGGGGAAUAUUGGACAAUGGGGGCAACCCUGAUCCAGCCAUGCCGCGUGUGUGAAGAAGGCCCUCGGGUUGUAAAGCACUUUCAGUGAGGAAGAACGCCUGGUGGUUAAUACCCAUCAGGAAAGACAUCACUCACAGAAGAAGCACCGGCUAACUCCGUGCCAGCAGCCGCGGUAAUACGGAGGGUGCGAGCGUUAAUCGGAAUUACUGGGCGUAAAGCGCGCGUAGGUGGCUUGAUAAGCCGGUUGUGAAAGCCCCGGGCUCAACCUGGGAACGGCAUCCGGAACUGUCAAGCUAGAGUGAAGGAGAGGAAGGUAGAAUUCCCGGUGUAGCGGUGAAAUGCGUAGAGAUCGGGAGGAAUACCAGUGGCGAAGGCGGCCUUCUGGACUGACACUGACACUGAGGUGCGAAAGCGUGGGUAGCAAACAGGAUUAGAUACCCCGGUAGUC